GGGCGAUUAGCUCAGUGGUAGAGCACUUCGGUGACAUCGAAGGGGUCGCAAGUUCGAAACUUGCAUCGCCCACCA
RNAcentral lists this transfer RNA (75 nucleotides) under hydrothermal vent metagenome. RNAcentral's name for it is "tRNA-Val-GAC". It matches the Rfam family "tRNA". From Rfam's summary of the family: Transfer RNA (tRNA) molecules are approximately 80 nucleotides in length. Their secondary structure includes four short double-helical elements and three loops (D, anti-codon, and T loops). Further hydrogen bonds mediate the characteristic L-shaped molecular structure. tRNAs have two regions of fundamental functional importance: the anti-codon, which is responsible for specific mRNA codon recognition, and the 3' end, to which the tRNAs corresponding amino acid is attached (by aminoacyl-tRNA synthetases). tRNAs cope with the degeneracy of the genetic code in two manners: having more than one tRNA (with a specific anti-codon) for a particular amino acid; and 'wobble' base-pairing, i.e. permitting non-standard base-pairing at the 3rd anti-codon position. The record is from RNAcentral.